UACGAAGGGGGCUAGCGUUGCUCGGAAUUACUGGGCGUAAAGCGCACGUAGGCGGACCGGACAGUCAGAGGUGAAAUCCCAGGGCUCAACCUUGGAACUGCCUUUGAAACUAUCGGUCUGGAGUUCGAGAGAGGUGAGUGGAAUUCCGAGUGUAGAGGUGAAAUUCGUAGAUAUUCGGAGGAACACCAGUGGCGAAGGCGGCUCACUGGCUCGAUACUGACGCUGAGGUGCGAAAGCGUGGGGAGCAAACAGG
This 253-nucleotide ribosomal RNA is filed under the name uncultured bacterium. RNAcentral describes it as "partial 16S ribosomal RNA". It matches the Rfam family "Bacterial small subunit ribosomal RNA", at positions 524 to 776 of the family's 1533-position model. The record is from RNAcentral.